RNAcentral lists this ribosomal RNA (498 nucleotides) under uncultured bacterium. Its description in RNAcentral is "partial 16S ribosomal RNA". It matches the Rfam family "Bacterial small subunit ribosomal RNA", at positions 30 to 523 of the family's 1533-position model. The record is from RNAcentral.
AUUGAACGCUGGCGGCAUGCCUUACACAUGCAAGUCGAACGGUAACAGGUCCUCGGAUGCUGACGAGUGGCGAACGGGUGAGUAAUACAUCGGAACGUGCCUAGUAGUGGGGGAUAACUACUCGAAAGAGUGGCUAAUACCGCAUGAGAUCUACGGAUGAAAGCAGGGGAUCGCAAGACCUUGUGCUACUAGAGCGGCCGAUGGCAGAUUAGGUAGUUGGUGGGAUAAAAGCUUACCAAGCCGACGAUCUGUAGCUGGUCUGAGAGGACGAUCAGCCACACUGGGACUGAGACACGGCCCAGACUCCUACGGGAGGCAGCAGUGGGGAAUUUUGGACAAUGGGCGAAAGCCUGAUCCAGCAAUGCCGCGUGCAGGAUGAAGGCCUUCGGGUUGUAAUCUGCCUUUGUACGGAACGAAAAGCCCCGGGUUAAUACCCUGGGGUCAUGACGGUACCGUAAGAAUAAGCACCGGCUAACUACGUGCCAGCCGCCGCCGUAA